GACGCGCGAUUUUACGUAGUUCGAGUUUCACGUGAUAUCGAAACGUUUGUACAAAUUAUUGCAGUAAAAUUUUACAAACCGGAAAUGAUAUACGUUGUUCCUGUUUGGAUUAUGUGACCGUCAUUUUUUUAUACUCUACUUUGUUUCAAAAAACGAAAUUACUCCUUUAAUCGUUGAAAUUUAUGUGAAUUAUAGUUCGUUAUCCUGUUCACUUAUUUGAUAAAGAAAAAAUACAUGAUGAUGAUUUAUAUAAAAUUUAAUUUUUUUUAAAUUUUCAAUAAAUUUUACUAUUAAAUUGUAUUAUUAAACAUUGCAUUUCUAAAUCUGCAAUGAUAAAUUUAACUUUAUUUUUUUAACUAAAAAUUUAAUAUUUAAUUCAAUUCAAUUAUGCAAUAAACAAAAGCAAAAAAAAAAAAUAAUGUAAUAGAAAUCAAACUUUUAAAAAUACAAGUAUUAAAAUACAUAAACAAAAAUUUUAUGCAUUAAGCAACGAUAACUACGAUUUCUAACCUCAUUCCAAAUUUCACGAUUGAUAAAUUGUAGUAGGUUAUUACAAAAUAUUUUUUAAUUCUUUUAUUAUUGUAAAAUAUUUUUAAAUAGGAAAUUAGGUUUAAAUAAAAAACUUACCUGA
Long non-coding RNA from Apis cerana (Asiatic honeybee), 631 nucleotides. RefSeq lists it as uncharacterized. Lineage: Eukaryota; Metazoa; Arthropoda; Insecta; Hymenoptera; Apidae. The record is from RefSeq and is a predicted model, not a curated record.